GAGUUUGAUCCUGGCUCAGAACGAACGCUGGCGGCAUGCCUAACACAUGCAAGUCGAACGAACUCUUCGGAGUUAGUGGCGCACGGGUGCGUAACGCGUGGGAAUCUGCCCUUGGGUACGGAAUAACUCAGAGAAAUUUGUGCUAAUACCGUAUAAUGACUUCGGUCCAAAGAUUUAUCGCCCAAGGAUGAGCCCGCGUAAGAUUAGCUAGUUGGUGGGUAAAGGCCUACCAAGGCUACGAUCUUUAGCUGGUCUGAGAGGAAGAUCAGCCACACUGGGACUGAGACACGGCCCAGACUCCUACGGGAGGCAGCAGUGGGGAAUAUUGGACAAUGGGCGAAAGCCUGAUCCAGCAAUGCCGCGUGAGUGAUGAAGGCCUAGGUUGUAAAGCUCUUUACCCGGUAUGAUAAUAGACAGUACCGGGAGGAAUAAGCUCCGGCUAACUCCGUG
Molecule: ribosomal RNA, 450 nt
Filed under: uncultured microorganism
Description: bacterial SSU rRNA
Rfam family: Bacterial small subunit ribosomal RNA
Source: RNAcentral